Molecule: long non-coding RNA, 471 nt
Filed under: Hordeum vulgare
Lineage: Eukaryota; Viridiplantae; Streptophyta; Magnoliopsida; Poales; Poaceae
Description: long non-coding RNA (HVUL_LNC005794)
Source: RNAcentral
GGAGGCAUAUGCAAGAGGACUGCGAGAGCGCGAGUGGAUUUUGUUCGGAGAGGUGGCUGGUUGGCGCUGUUCCUGCUCGACAGCUCAAGCCAGGUACCGAAUAUUCUAAUUCUUGACUUGAUAUUCCAUAUACAUCCGUAAUCUGUAGACUUGAUGCUUAUGUUUGUGGAAUGAAACAAAUCGAUGCGUAUUUUUGUUGUAAAUUGCAGAAUUGGACAUGAAGAGGAACGGGACACUCCCUUCUCCUGAAACAUCAGCCUUUAACAUGAUUGCAUCUUCUGCAUUAGUGUAUUAGUGUUUCUUCGCUGUCCAUAACGUUGUAAAGAAAAUCUGAAAAUGUCUAGACGGAUUUUAUUCUUCACAUAUACAGUAUAUCUAAGCAUCGCAGCAUAGCUGGUACAAUCAUGAACCCAAUGUUCUAGUUGGAAUAGUGCAGAGUAUAUAUGCCAAUAACAUGUAAGACAGGUGGUC